Portunus trituberculatus (swimming crab) is the source of this 582-nucleotide long non-coding RNA. RefSeq lists it as uncharacterized. The transcript is spliced from 2 exons. NCBI's taxonomy places the organism in Eukaryota, Metazoa, Arthropoda, Malacostraca, Decapoda, Portunidae. The record is from RefSeq and is a predicted model, not a curated record.
GAUUCUCAUCAUAUUAGAAUUAUAAUGUCAUUGUUGGCACCUUUGAAUGUGGAGCGGGCAGUGUGUGUCGCUGUCAUUGGUUGGAAAGAGGUGUAGACACGGGUUGUAUUUCAGUUACUGUAUAAUUGUUAUUGGCAUAUAUGACAAGAAUUGUAAUUAUUAUUGAGAUAUAUAUAUUGUUUUCUUACUUAUUAACAAGUUUGGUAUUGGUUAGUAAUGUGUAUUUGUUUGUCAAGAGGAAGUUUUCUUUUAGGGUCUGUGUAUGUAACACGGAUAUAUAUUAUACCGCACUCAGGGUGUAGGGGUAAGGUAGGCCUGUCAGGGGUGAGUGGCGGUUGUUUGACUGAGGUGAGUUUUGUGAUAACAUUAUUUCUCUGAUUUGUUUGACUUAUGUUAUGCCGCUGAUUGUGCAUAUUGGUUGGUGUUAUAUUAAAUGCGGUGCUGAUAGGAGGAUUUGAUUAAGUGUAACUUUGCAGCAUAGUUGGGGUAAUGCUGUAAUCAGACAUGUGGUGAAGUCUGCCUUGGCUGAUGAUGGGCGGUCAUUUUGCUGAAUCAAUCAAUAAAUCAAGAUACAGCAAGUCA